CCAAGUGCUAUACGCCAAUCUGGGCCUCGUCCAACUCUUCGCCAUCUGGCUCCAACUGGUAAUGCUCCGGCCUCUCGUGGCCUCCCUACUACCACUCAGAGAGUCGGGUCUGAGUGCCCGGACCGCUUGGCUAUGGACUUUGGUGGGGCUGGUGCCGCCCAGCAAGGGCUGACUGACAGCUGCCAGUCUGGAGGUGGUAUUGGAUGCACACAGAAGGGGGAAAGAUGGGAUUUGACGGGUCUUUGCCCAGACUGAUGGGCUUUAAUUGUAUUUGUUCUUUCCCUAAGGCGUUCCCACAGCUGUGCAGAACUUAGCGCCACGCGCUGCUGUUGCCGCUGCUGCUCCCCGGGCUGUUGCCCCCUACAAGUACGCCUCCAGUGUCCGCAGCCCUCAUCCUGCCAUACAGCCUCUGC
RNAcentral lists this small RNA (413 nucleotides) under Pan troglodytes (chimpanzee). RNAcentral describes it as "retained intron". Lineage: Eukaryota; Metazoa; Chordata; Mammalia; Primates; Hominidae. The record is from RNAcentral.